CCUUAAGAGAGCAUGAUCUAUUUCACAGGCAGAUUUAGAACAAACACGUUCAUCACUCUCUAAAAGAUCAAUAUCAAGUUUCAAAGAGAUUUCAAGUGCAAGAUUAUCCCAAGAAUAGCUCUCGGGUUCACUCCUAUUCCUUUGAUCAAUAUUUUCAACAUCAUCACACACUUGAGAUUCAUUAAUCACAUCACACACAUCCUCAAGUGGUGGACAAUUUUCACAUAAAAGUUGAUCAACAUAAAUUUCACAGGAUGAUGUACUUUCAUUCAACACA
This 277-nucleotide long non-coding RNA is filed under the name Capsicum annuum. Its description in RNAcentral is "long non-coding RNA (CANN_LNC011099)". Lineage: Eukaryota; Viridiplantae; Streptophyta; Magnoliopsida; Solanales; Solanaceae. The record is from RNAcentral.